GACGUAGGGCGCGAGCGUUGUUCGGAAUUAUUGGGCGUAAAGCGCGUGUAGGCGGCUUUGCAAGUCGGGUGUGAAAGCCCUCAGCUCAACUGAGGAAGUGCGCCCGAAACUGCAGAGCUUGAGUACCGGAGAGGAUGGUGGAAUUCCCCAAGUAGAGGUGAAAUUCGUAGAUAUGGGGAGGAACACCGGUGGCGAAGGCGACCAUCUGGACGGAUACUGACGCUGAGACGCGAAAGCGUGGGUAGCAAACAGG
Molecule: ribosomal RNA, 253 nt
Filed under: uncultured bacterium
Lineage: Bacteria
Description: partial 16S ribosomal RNA
Rfam family: Bacterial small subunit ribosomal RNA
Source: RNAcentral